Molecule: non-coding RNA, 27 nt
Filed under: Mus musculus (house mouse)
Lineage: Eukaryota; Metazoa; Chordata; Mammalia; Rodentia; Muridae
Source: RNAcentral
UUCCACUUAAGAGUCUGUCAAGGGGAA